UAUGGGGGGGCGUGGUAUGGCUGCUAUGUAGGGGGUGUGGCCUGUUGUGGGCGUGGCCAUCGCUAACCCCGCCCCUUUCAGGUCCUUCACUUCCCCGAGGCAGAACCCGGAUCCACCCCCCCCCGGCCGUGCCUUCAGCUGCGCUUUGGCCCCACCCCCCCGGACCAGGGCCACGCCCCCGGGGCGGAGCUGAGCCUGGAGCUGCGGGCGCUGAGCUCCGAGUUGGACCUGGGGCUGCUGGAGCGCCUCGGCCCCGCCCUCACCCGGCUGCGAGGCCACGCCCACCGCCACGCCACGCCCACCAAUCAGGCCCCGCCCCUGCACUUCCGGUGGGCGGUUCCGGGGGCGGAGCUUUGCCUUUGGUUACCCCAGUUGGAUUUGCGGCCCCCCCCCGCCCGAAGGCCGUGGUACCGACCUGCAAUGAGGGCCGAGAGGCUGAGGAUGCACAUGGGGGGGGUCCGGGGGGCUGCUGGCCCAGGGGGGGGGCGGCUGCAGUGUGAGACCCUGAGCGGUG
This is a non-coding RNA of Phasianus colchicus (ring-necked pheasant), 514 nucleotides long. The record is from RefSeq and is a predicted model, not a curated record. Lineage: Eukaryota; Metazoa; Chordata; Aves; Galliformes; Phasianidae.